GGGGGGGAGUGGCGAACGGGUGAGAAAUACAUCGGAACGUGUCCUGUAGUGGGGGAUAGCCCGGCGAAAGCCGGAUUAAUACCGCAUACGCUCUACGGAGGAAAGGGGGGGAUCUUAGGACCUCUCGCUACAGGGGCGGCCGAUGGCAGAUUAGCUAGUUGGUGGGGGAAAGGCCUACCAAGGCGACGAUCUGUAGCUGGUCUGAGAGGACGACCAGCCACACUGGGACUGAGACACGGCCCAGACUCCUACGGGAGGCAGCAGUGGGGAAUUUUGGACAAUGGGGGCAACCCUGAUCCAGCAAUGCCGCGUGUGUGAGGAAGGCCUUCGGGUUGUAAAGCACUUUUGUCCGGAAAGAAAACCGCCGCCCUAAUAUGGUGGUGGGAUGACGGUACCGGAAGAAUAAGCACCGGCUAACUACGUGCCAGCAGCCGCGGUAAUACGUAGGGUGCAAGCGUUAAUCGGAAUUACUGGGCGUAAAGCGUGCGCACGCGGUUUGCUAAUACAGAUGUGAAAUCCCCGGGCUUAACCUGGGAACUGCAUUUGUGACUGACAGGCUAGAGUAUGGCAGAUGGGGGGUAGAAGUCCACGUGUAGCAGUGAAAUGCGUAUAGAUGUAGAUGUAUACCGAUGGCGGAGGCAGCCCCCUGCCCCAAUACUGACGCUCAUGCACGAGAGCGUGGGGAGGGAACAGGAUAGAUACCCUGGCAGUCCACGCCCUAACGAUGUCAACUAGUUGUGGGGAUUCAUUUCCUUAGUACCGUACCCACGCCGUGAAGUUGACCGCCUAGGCGAGGACGGUCGCAGAUUAAAACUCAAGCAUUGACGGGUACCCGGCCACGCGUGGACGGAGUGGAUU
Molecule: ribosomal RNA, 858 nt
Filed under: uncultured bacterium
Lineage: Bacteria
Description: bacterial SSU rRNA
Rfam family: Bacterial small subunit ribosomal RNA
Source: RNAcentral